AUUGAACGCUGGCGGCAGGCCUAACACAUGCAAGUCGAAUGGUAACAGGAAACAGCUUGCUGUUUCGCUGACGAGUGGCGGACGGGUGAGUAAUGUCUGGGAAACUGCCUGAUGGAGGGGGAUAACUACUGGAAACGGUAGCUAAUACCGCAUAACGUCGCAAGACCAAAGAGGGGGACCUUCGGGCCUCUUGCCAUCAGAUGUGCCCAGAUGGGAUUAGCUAGUAGGUGGGGUAACGGCUCACCUAGGCGGCGAUCCCUAGCUGGUCUGAGAGGAUGACCAGCCACACUGGAACUGAGACACGGUCCAGACUCCUACGGGAGGCGGCAGUGGGGAAUAUUGCACAAUGGGCGCAAGCCUGAUGCAGCCAUGCCGCGUGUAUGAAGAAGGCCUUCGGGUUGUAAAGUACUUUCAGCGGGGAGGAAGGGAGUAAAGUUAAUACCUUUGCUCAUUGACGUUACCCGCAGAAGAAGCACCGGCUAACUCCGUG
This 490-nucleotide ribosomal RNA is filed under the name uncultured bacterium. RNAcentral's name for it is "partial 16S ribosomal RNA". It matches the Rfam family "Bacterial small subunit ribosomal RNA", at positions 30 to 507 of the family's 1533-position model. The record is from RNAcentral.